CUGAGAAAAAAAAAACAAACACAUACAGCAAAAGACAUGAAGCUUUAAUCCCAUAGUAAUUAUACAAUUGGUUCCAAUUUUCCUAGUGAGGAAUCACUAUCAGCUAUUUGGAUUCGAUUAUGAGUGUCAGAUACACUUGUUUGACACAGGUUUCACUUUUUCAUAGUUUUUGCAUGUUUUAAAAGGAUCCUGAAAGGGUCAAAUAUAGGUACCGGAUCCUGCAGAACAAAAUGCAGUGUGAUGGUGCAACAUCCCUACAACUAACACAAUCCACAAAUUAUCACUUCAUAAAUGGAACCCCAAGCCAGAACAAACAAUCAAUCAUAUUCCUCAUUAUCUGCAUCAAAAGAGAAGCCGUUCCCAAGGGAUCCUCUUUGGAAAGAACAGCCAAACCACAACAGCAAAACAAUAACUAAAACAGGAUUACAGAGCAUAAUCUGAGUAGCAACUACCCAAACAACGAAAUCUUAUGACCAGGAUGAUGAAAGAAUCCAUGAGUCCUGUCUCUACAACUUAUGAUGUUUAUCAAGGAAGGCUACGCCUUAAUCAAAAGAAAUUUCAGUUUGCUCACUUGAAAAGCUUUUACAAACCAAUGCCAACCCUUCUCAUACAAUCAACAAACCCUCCACAUACAAGAAAAAAAUUGAACAUAAGUGUGCAGAACUCACAUCCGAAUCUAAGCAACAUAAAGAAUAGGUACAUUUUAUGAGUAUCCACUUACCAAACAAAGAAACCUUAUAUUCCCUUGGUGAUGAAGGAUCCAUGAACUCUGUCUAACAAACUUACGAUGCUUCUCAUAGUAAUUAUACCUUUAAUAGAAAUAAUUUUCCUUUCCCUUACUUGAAAAACUUAUAAAAGCCAAUGCUAAUCAUACUAACACAAUGCACUAAUCAAAUGGAACCCCGGAACAAACACUUCAAACAUACUCAUAACCUGCCCCAAAUUUUGCUUUAAGGAAAGGCCACUCAUAAGGGAUCCACUUUGCAAAGAACUGCCUUACAGAGUGUUAUCUGAUUACAAACUUACCAAACAAAGAAACCUUAAUGAUCUGUAGGAUGAACAAAUCUACAAGCUACAUCUAACCAGUUUGAAAUGUUCCAAAUGGUAAACCAUAACUUAAUCAAACGCUCAAAUGACUAGCCACAGUCAGAAUAGAAAAUUUUCUAUUAACUACUACUACUUAAACAAGACCAAGCCCCAAACUACUAACCCAAAAUAAGAUUAUCCGAGUCAGUCAGUCAGUCCUACAAACAUAAUCCAAG
Molecule: long non-coding RNA, 1262 nt
Filed under: Gossypium barbadense (sea-island cotton)
Lineage: Eukaryota; Viridiplantae; Streptophyta; Magnoliopsida; Malvales; Malvaceae
Description: long non-coding RNA (GBAR_LNC021004)
Source: RNAcentral